UCUUGCAAAAUGAAGCUACGUCUGAAUAUGGAUGGGCUUGCCACUGGACAGGAUUUAGCCUUACUUAUAGCCAAUUACAUGGAUUGAGCGUUCCCAAAUCUGUCCCUUUACAAACAAUAUCUCACAAUUUCUGUGAGUGGCGCACAGGCAGAACACCAGUCGCCUUAAACUAUUAAACAUGUUUUCAUGCCAACAUGGGCGAGAAUCGCAUGGCAACAUGCGCUACAGUUGACCGAAGAAGAGCUGCAAACAUUGAUAUGGAUAAGGGCCUCCACGGUGGUCGUGUGGUUUAGCUCCUGCUCUUCUAGAAGCCCCUUCGCCUGGUCUUUCUGCAUUUGCAUCUGAUCGCACUCCUGCUGCAACUGCUGGAUACAUGCCUGCAGCUUAGGCAGCUCAAGAUCCUUCUCGUUCAGGUCUUCAAGGCACCUGGGAAAAAACAUCAGGCUCUCUGGGUCAUGUGCGCUGACUCCAGCUCAUCCGUCAUCCUCAUCCGGAUCUCCUUGUGAGCCAUAGACAGGCGGCAGGAUGC
This is a long non-coding RNA of Clupea harengus (Atlantic herring), 529 nucleotides long. The record is from Ensembl. Lineage: Eukaryota; Metazoa; Chordata; Actinopteri; Clupeiformes; Clupeidae.